This is a long non-coding RNA of Helianthus annuus (common sunflower), 737 nucleotides long. RefSeq lists it as uncharacterized. NCBI's taxonomy places the organism in Eukaryota, Viridiplantae, Streptophyta, Magnoliopsida, Asterales, Asteraceae. The record is from RefSeq and is a predicted model, not a curated record. The transcript has 3 exons.
UCCCAAUCAAAAUUUAAACAUUCUUCCUAAACCUAAUUUAUCUCUCAUUCUCUUCACACACACACAUCACACACACAGAUUCUAGAGAAUCUUCUACAGCUCAACUCAUAUGUAUGUAAUUGAACUUCAAUGUAUAGCGGUGCAACUGACGUUGAAGGCCACAAUGCAUCGUUGGUGGCGUCUCAGAGGACUCCACGGCGUCUUCUAUGCUGUUGGUUCGUAACCUCUGCCUACAUCAGAUCUGGUGCCAGUCUCGUCUCUCAAGUUGUCAUGGGACAUGUAAAGGCAACCUCCAACACAGAAGAAGCUAGAAGCCAAGGAUCCUCCUAACUUCUCUAUUGUAUAAAGAUCGCUGGACAAAAUUAUGAAAUCAACCAAAUUUCUUCCAAUAGAACAUUUGUACCGUAUACUUUGUUGUUAUUUUGACCCGAACCUAAUUAGAAAUAAAAACUUUCUGUACAGGGGCAAUUUUUAUUUUAAAGGUUUUAAGACUCUGGGUGGCUUGUGACAAAUUGCAUAUUUAAAUCACAUUUUCUCGACAUGUGCUCUUAAUUCAAUCUCAGAUGUGGCACGACACAGAAGAGGCUACGGAUAAUGAUAUAGAGAUUUUGUUGAAGACGUUGAUGCUGAAUUUUUUUCAAGAGUUAAGUAUUCCGUUAGUUUAGCUUUAUUUAUAGAUUUUAGAAUUGUACGUAGCUUAUGUAUGAAAUUUAAUGUCGUUUGUUAUACAUUUAGCA